UACGGGGGGGGCUAGCGUUGUUCGGAAUUACUGGGCGUAAAGGGCGCGUAGGCGGCCUACUAAGUCGGACGUGAAAUCCUUCGGCUCAACCGAGGAACUGCGUCCGAUACUGGUGGGCUUGAAUCCGGGAGAGGGAUGUGGAAUUCCAGGUGUAGCGGUGAAAUGCGUAGAUAUCUGGAGGAACACCAGCGGCGAAGGCGGCGCUCUGGGCCGGUACUGACGCUGAGGAGCGAAAGCGUGGGUAGCAAACAGG
RNAcentral lists this ribosomal RNA (253 nucleotides) under uncultured bacterium. RNAcentral describes it as "partial 16S ribosomal RNA". It matches the Rfam family "Bacterial small subunit ribosomal RNA", at positions 524 to 776 of the family's 1533-position model. The record is from RNAcentral.